UCGGAGCUUGCUCCGAUCGGAUUAGUGGCGGACGGGUGAGUAACGUGUGAGUAACCUGCCUGCGAGAGGGGGAUAACAACGGGAAACUGUUGCUAAUACCGCAUAACGCAUCGAUUCCGCAUGGAGAUGAUGCCAAAGGGAAACCGCUUGCAGAUGGACUCGCGUCUGAUUAGGUAGUUGGUGAGGUAACGGCUCACCAAGCCGACGAUCAGUAGCCGGACUGAGAGGUUGAACGGCCACAUUGGAACUGAGAUACGGUCCAGACUCC
RNAcentral lists this ribosomal RNA (268 nucleotides) under uncultured bacterium. Its description in RNAcentral is "partial 16S ribosomal RNA". It matches the Rfam family "Bacterial small subunit ribosomal RNA", at positions 73 to 339 of the family's 1533-position model. The record is from RNAcentral.